Molecule: ribosomal RNA, 120 nt
Filed under: Hydropus marginellus
Lineage: Eukaryota; Fungi; Basidiomycota; Agaricomycetes; Agaricales; Mycenaceae
Description: partial small subunit ribosomal RNA
Rfam family: Eukaryotic small subunit ribosomal RNA
Source: RNAcentral
UAAAUAGUCAGGCUGGCUUUGGCUGGUCGCCGACUUCUUAGAGGGACUGUCAGUGUCUAACUGACGGAAGUUUGAGGCAAUAACAGGUCUGUGAUGCCCUUAGAUGUUCUGGGCCGCACG